UUCAGGAUCUUCUUCAUCUGCAUUUCCUUGCCAGCCCAAAUACAGACUUAGUGCACAUUUGCCAGAAGGAAGGAAGGAGAAAAGCUGCCUGGAGGUAUAUCUGUGGAGCACGGAGAUUAGGAGGAGCCAAUCACACCUCUAGAUUGAAGAAGUGAGGAGGAAGAAGGAACAGAUUCAAGAGCCAGUUCCAAGAAAGAACAGACAAGGGCUCUCACAGGGAACCAGCUACCCAUCUCCUCAAGUUUGGCCCUCAGGCUGCUGGAUUUUCUGUAAGAAGUCACCAGCUUGUCAGAUAUCUCACCUCACAUCUUCCAAGCUGAGUCUCUUUCCACUGCACCCCCAGAAAAUACAGCUACCUUUAACCUUCUUCCAAGGAAUCUUCCUGCAAAUUCAGUUACCAUGGUGAUAGAC
This 411-nucleotide long non-coding RNA is filed under the name Heterocephalus glaber (naked mole-rat). RNAcentral's name for it is "lncRNA (ENSHGLG00100049716.1)". The record is from RNAcentral. Lineage: Eukaryota; Metazoa; Chordata; Mammalia; Rodentia; Bathyergidae.